RNAcentral lists this ribosomal RNA (279 nucleotides) under uncultured bacterium. RNAcentral's name for it is "partial 16S ribosomal RNA". It matches the Rfam family "Bacterial small subunit ribosomal RNA", at positions 506 to 784 of the family's 1533-position model. The record is from RNAcentral.
UGCCAGCAGCCGCGGUAAUACGAAGGGGGCAAGCGUUGUUCGGAUUUACUGGGCGUAAAGAGCACGUAGGCGGAUUGUUAAGUUAGGGGUGAAAUCCCAAGGCUCAACCUUGGAACUGCCUCUGAUACUGGCAAUCUUGAGAUCGAGAGAGGAGUGUGGAACUCCGAGUGUAGAGGUGAAAUUCGUAGAUAUUCGGAAGAACACCAGAGGCGAAGGCGGCACUCUGGCUCGAUACUGACGCUGAGGUGCGAAAGCGUGGGGAGCAAACAGGAUUAGAUA